This is a long non-coding RNA of Anguilla anguilla (European eel), 656 nucleotides long. RefSeq lists it as uncharacterized. NCBI's taxonomy places the organism in Eukaryota, Metazoa, Chordata, Actinopteri, Anguilliformes, Anguillidae. The transcript is spliced from 3 exons. The record is from RefSeq and is a predicted model, not a curated record.
GCCUGCCUGCCUGCCUGCCUACCACCUUGCCUGCCUGCUUGCCUCUCUCCAACCAUCAUUGAACACAGUGCCCCCGGAAGGCUUUACAUAACGCCCAAUUAGGGCUGGGGAGAGAGAACGCCCUCGCAGCCGCCGGGGUAAGAAAGUCAUCAAGUCAGGAAGUCUUAGCGGUCUGUGAAGCCUCUGGCAAUCCUCCCCUGGUCUACGGCUUACGCUCUUAAAACCAUCCUGUUAUCUCUUUCUGAUGUCUUCCACAGACGGCCUGAUCGCUGGUGAUUCCCUGAGUCCUCCUGUUUUUCGUUUUUUCUGUAGGGUGUUCCAUACUGUUGACAUUGGAAUAUACAAACAUUCUGCAACAGCUCUAAUUGAUUAUUUCUUUCCUUUCACCCUCACAGUAGCUUUCUUGGUUCUCUUACUCAGUUCUCUGGCCCUCAUCUGCAGUUUUCAGUGUUCUUGUUUUUCUCAUAAAGUAGACUUAACAGACACUUCCAAAGGAUAUAGCUCACCCAAGCUGUGAACUAUCCAUUUAUAAAUACAGUAAUAUGGCAAACCUGCAAAAUUUGAUACUACUGAUGGUCACUUGUGCCAAUACUUAUGCUGACUUUAAAUAGGGGAACUUGACUAGUUGAAUGCCAUUGUUGUAAUACAGUUCAAUG